CCUACGUGGUGCAGCAGUGAGGAAUAUUGGUCAAUGGGCGCGAGCCUGAACCAGCCAAGUAGCGUGAAGGAUGACUGCCCUACGGGUUGUAAACUUCUUUUAUAAAGGAAUAAAGUGGGGCACGUGUGCCUUUUUGUAUGUACUUUAUGAAUAAGGAUCGGCGAACUCCGUGCCAGCAGCCGCGGUAAUACGGAGGAUCCGAGCGUUAUCCGGAUUUAUUGGGUUUAAAGGGAGCGUAGAUGGGUUGUUAAGUCAGUUGUGAAAGUUUGCGGCUCAACCGUAAAAUUGCAAUUGAUACUGGCAGUCUUGAGUACAGUUGAGGUAGGCGGAAUUCGUGGUGUAGCGGUGAAAUGCUUAGAUAUCACGAAGAACUCCGAUUGCGAAGGCAGCUUACUAAACUGCCACUGACAUUGAUGCUCGAAAGUGUGGGUAUCAAACAGGAUUAGAUACCCCUGUAGUC
This 460-nucleotide ribosomal RNA is filed under the name uncultured bacterium. RNAcentral's name for it is "partial 16S ribosomal RNA". It matches the Rfam family "Bacterial small subunit ribosomal RNA", at positions 338 to 795 of the family's 1533-position model. The record is from RNAcentral.